GUGGGGAAUACUGGACAAUGGGCGAAAGCCUGAUCCAGCCAUGCCGCGUGUGUGAAGAAGGUCUUCGGAUUGUAAAGCACUUUAAGUUGGGAGGAAGGGCAGUAAGUUAAUACCUUGCUGUUUUGACGUUACCGACAGAAUAAGCACCGGCUAACUUCGUGCCAGCAGCCGCGGUAAUACGAAGGGUGCAAGCGUUAAUCGGAAUUACUGGGCGUAAAGCGCGCGUAGGUGGUUUUGUAAGUUGGAGGUGAAAUCCCCGGGCUCAACCUGGGAACUGCCUCCAAAACUGCAUGACUAGAGUACGGUAGAGGGUAGUGGAAUUUCCUGUGUAGCGGUGAAAUGCGUAGAUAUAGGAAGGAACACCAGUGGCGAAGGCGACUACCUGGACUGAUACUGACACUGAGGUGCGAAAGCGUGGGGAGCAAACAGGAUUAGAUACCCCAGUAGUCC
This 450-nucleotide ribosomal RNA is filed under the name uncultured bacterium. Its description in RNAcentral is "partial 16S ribosomal RNA". It matches the Rfam family "Bacterial small subunit ribosomal RNA", at positions 354 to 796 of the family's 1533-position model. The record is from RNAcentral.